AAGUAAUAGAAUCAAAGUGUGUGACCUAGCUGGGUCUCAUCCUCAUUGUUAACUACGGGGACUUCGUAACUGGAUGACCAGGUCCUAAAUUGGACAGAAUAAAUCUUAAAGGUGAUCCGUCUUUUUGGUAGGUAAAGAAAACACAGAAUUGCAAUUCUGAGGCUUAGAAGACUUCUUCGAGUGCCAUGACAAGGCCUGUAAAGUAUUUGCAGUAUGGAGUGGAGUACAUGAUACAAAAGCAAGCAUUUUUAUCUCCCAAACCCUGCAUCAGGGGUCAUGGGAGAGACAAAAGGAAGGCCCUUCCCGAGUUUAAAAUUCAAUUCGCAAGGCAGGACUUAGGAAAAUUAAAGCAAAUAUUAAACGGAAGAAAAUCCCUUGCGUAGAGUAAUUGCCAAUUGCGUUGUACAAAUCAAAACUGAAAUAAAAUGUUAGGGCGUUCUAAACAAAUAGCUGGAGAAAUAGAUAAGACAAAUCUAAAAUGGAAGAAAAGGCGGAUUCGAGUUGAAAAUGCCAAGUUGAGGACCGAAAGCAUUUGGGUAGAAGCAGCCUCCAGGCUGGAAGGCAAAUAGCAAACGAGUACUGCCACCAAAGAUCUGGAAAGGCCAAUAAAUGUUGCAGUGGGUCGGUUUAACUGAAGGCGGUUUCCUCCUCCUCCAUUAGCUCGGCCCCAGUUGGAAGCGCAGUGCGCGGCGCCGCGCUCCAGGCCCCCGGCACGGGUGGGAGCGGGGGGGAACAAGCGUGGGCGGGGCGGGGCGAGCGCGGGCUCUCAGCCGGCGCAGGGGCGGGGCGGCUAUAUUACGUGCGCGGCGCCGCCCCUGCGAGAGGACGUUGCGUGCUCGCUCGCGUCAGGCGAGUCUCCGCGUCUCCCUCGCGAACUCGGUGAAAGGAAUUGGCGCCGUUCGACACCAGGCGGAUCCACUCUGCAGCAGAAACCCACCUCCAGCCGCAGCCGCAGCCGCAGCCGCCGCCCGGGCCGAGGAGCAGCCUCAGCCGCCGCCAGUGGCCGAGUGAGCGGAGCCGAGUUUGAGCCAGCGCCUAGUGGUGAAUUGGGGCCUCACCAUGAGUUCCUCGCCUGUUAAUGUGAAAAAGCUGAAGGUGUCGGAGCUGAAGGAGGAGCUCAAGAAGCGGCGCCUGUCCGACAAGGGCCUCAAGGCCGAGCUCAUGGAGCGUCUCCAGGCCGCGCUGGACGACGAGGAGGCCGGGGGCCGCCCCGCCAUGGAGCCCGGGAACGGCAGCCUAGACCUGGGCGGGGAUUCCGCCGGGCGCUCGGGAGCAGGCCUCGAGCAGGAGGCCGCGGCAGGCGGCGAUGACGACGAGGAGGAAGAGGAGGAGGAGGAGGAAGGGAUAGCCGCCCUGGAUGGCGACCAGAUGGAGCUUGGGGAGGAGAACGGCGCCGCGGGGGCGGCCGACUCGGGCCCGAUGGAGGAGGAGGAGGCCGCCUCGGAGGACGAGAACGGCGACGACCAGGGCUUCCAGGAAGGGGAGGAUGAGCUCGGAGACGAGGAGGAAGCCGCGGGCGACGAGAACGGGCACGGGGAGCAGCAGCCUCAACCGCCGGCGGCGCCGCAGCAACAGCCCCAGCAGCAGCGCGGGGCCGCAAAGGAGGCCGCGGGGAAGAGCAGCGGCCCCACGUCUCUGUUCGCGGUGACGGUGGCGCCGCCCGGGGCGAGGCAGGGCCAGCAGCAGGCGGGAGGUAAGAAGAAGGCGGAAGGCGGCGGAGGCGGCGGUCGCCCCGGGGCUCCGGCGGCGGGAGACGGCAAAACAGAACAGAAAGGCGGAGAUAAAAAGAGAGGUGUUAAAAGACCUCGAGAAGAUCAUGGCCGUGGCUAUUUUGAGUACAUUGAAGAGAACAAGUAUAGCAGAGCCAAAUCUCCUCAGCCACCUGUUGAAGAAGAAGAUGAGCACUUCGACGACACAGUGGUUUGUCUUGAUACUUAUAAUUGUGAUCUACAUUUUAAAAUAUCAAGAGAUCGCCUCAGUGCUUCUUCCCUUACUAUGGAGAGUUUUGCUUUUCUUUGGGCUGGAGGAAGGGCAUCCUAUGGUGUGUCAAAAGGCAAAGUCUGUUUUGAGAUGAAGGUUACAGAGAAGAUCCCAGUAAGGCAUUUAUAUACAAAAGAUAUUGACAUACACGAAGUUCGGAUUGGCUGGUCACUAACCACAAGUGGAAUGUUGCUUGGUGAAGAAGAAUUUUCUUAUGGGUAUUCUCUAAAAGGAAUAAAAACAUGCAACUGUGAGACUGAAGAUUAUGGAGAGAAGUUUGAUGAAAAUGAUGUGAUUACAUGUUUUGUUAACUUCGAAAGUGAUGAAGUAGAACUCUCCUAUGCAAAGAAUGGACAAGAUCUUGGCAUUGCCUUCAAAAUCAGUAAGGAAGUUCUUGCUGGACGACCACUCUUCCCGCAUGUUCUGUGCCACAACUGUGCGGUUGAGUUUAAUUUUGGUCAGAAGGAAAAGCCAUAUUUUCCAAUACCUGAAGACUAUACUUUUAUCCAGAAUGUCCCCUUGGAGGAUCGAGUUAGAGGACCAAAGGGGCCUGAAGAGAAGAAAGAUUGUGAAGUGGUUAUGAUGAUUGGCUUGCCAGGAGCUGGGAAAACUACCUGGGUUACUAAACAUGCAGCAGAAAAUCCUGGUAAAUACAACAUUCUUGGAACAAACACCAUAAUGGAUAAAAUGAUGGUGGCAGGUUUUAAGAAGCAAAUGGCAGAUACUGGGAAACUAAACACACUGUUGCAGAGAGCUCCACAGUGUCUUGGAAAGUUUAUUGAGAUUGCUGCCCGUAAGAAGCGAAACUUCAUUUUGGAUCAGACAAAUGUGUCUGCUGCUGCCCAGAGGAGAAAAAUGUGCCUGUUUGCAGGCUUCCAACGAAAAGCUGUUGUAGUUUGCCCAAAAGAUGAAGACUAUAAGCAAAGAACACAGAAGAAAGCAGAAGUAGAGGGAAAAGACCUACCGGAACAUGCAGUCCUUAAAAUGAAAGGAAACUUUACUCUGCCAGAAGUAGCUGAGUGCUUUGAUGAAAUAACGUAUGUUGAACUUCAGAAGGAGGAAGCCCAAAAACUUUUGGAGCAAUAUAAGGAAGAAAGCAAAAAAGCGCUUCCACCGGAAAAGAAACAGAACACAGGCUCAAAGAAGAGCAAUAAAAAUAAGAGUGGCAAGAAUCAGUUUAACAGAGGUGGUGGCCAUAGAGGGCGCGGUGGAUUCAAUAUGCGUGGUGGAAAUUUCAGAGGAGGAGCUCCUGGGAAUCGUGGUGGAUAUAAUAGGAGGGGCAAUAUGCCACAGAGAGGUGGUGGCGGUGGUGGAAGUGGUGGAAUUGGCUAUCCAUAUCCUCGUGGCCCUGUUUUUCCCAGCCGAGGCGGUUAUUCAAACAGAGGGAAUUACAACAGAGGUGGAAUGCCUAACAGAGGGAACUACAACCAGAACUUCAGAGGACGAGGAAACAAUCGUGGCUACAAAAAUCAAUCUCAGGGCUACAACCAGUGGCAGCAGGGUCAAUUCUGGGGUCAGAAGCCAUGGAGUCAGCAUUAUCACCAAGGAUAUUAUUGAAUACCCAAAUAAAACGAACUGAUACAUAUUUCUCCAAAACCUUCACAAGAAGUCGACUGUUUUCUUUAGAAUCAACAUAUACUUGCAUCUUGACAAGGAACAGGGGUUUUGCUUUUAAACAAAACUGGAUCUGUGGUCUGUCCAUGUGAAUGUGCUGUGUGGAAGAGUAAAAGGGUCCAAGUAAAUGUCUUCCAGUGAUUCCAAUAGGUAUUCCAAAUUAAUUGCUGCUUGUACAUUUAACACGUGUUAUACUGGGCUUCCAGGAUCACCUUAAUUAGAACUCUUAUUUUAAAAAGGCAGGGGAAAGGGAGAAAAUAGUAACUAGGUGCAUAGAUUUAUCUGUAACAGGAAAGAAAGGUUCUCUAGUAUAUCCUUUGCAUACCUGAAAUGUGAGGUAUUUGGUGGUAUGUUAGCAAUUGGUGGUCCUCUUGCAUAGGUUAAAGGCAGUACAUGCAAAUAGAGCCAAGUCCCUUUAAGGUUAAAUCCUUAUUAUAAUGGUUCAAAUUCCUUCUGUUUUAAUGUUAUGUAAGACAUUAUUUCAAUACCCUCCCUGCUUGUAGAGUUGAAAUACUUCCUUAUACAAUAUUCUAAUACAAAGAUAUUUGGGAUACCUAUGUCCUUGGGUUCCCAAAAUCUUUCUGCAUCUGUAUUAAAUGCACAAAUACUUUUUGUUAGCUUAUAAUAAUUUGGAAAAUGAUCUUUUUGGAUAAUUAAGUGAUGUAAAUUUACAUCAAAGUACAAAAAAAUCAGGAAGUGAAAUUUAAGACAAGGACUUUGAUUAUGCUAGUCCAGAGCAUGUACUUUCUUGUUGCCCUGAAAUUAUUUAAAGACUUAAUAAGCUUAGAAGAAAUUAGUUUUCCCCACUACAUACUUAAGAAUAAUGUAUUUUGGUGAAGUGAGAGGACUUGGGUGCUGUACUGACUGAAAAUAUAACUACCAGGGUUUCCUCAGUGAAAUACAGUUCUACUCUGUCAAAUAAAAGCAAUCUCUAAAGACUUUUGAAGAGCAGACAACUUAGAGUAAAAGGUAAAAAACUCAAAGCCAUUUCUGUUCAUCUGAGAAAAACAAACUAGAAAGAUGUUUUUAAAGCGAAUUUAGGUAGUAGAACACGUUUCAUUUCACGUGACUAGUCCUUGUGGUCUAAGGGGGAAGACAUUUUUAUGAAAACUUAACCCUUUAAGAAACCAGUAUAUGCAAAUUUGAAUCCCCUAAGGGUAGGCCAUAUAAUAGGUGUUUUACAACUUACAGAACUUAGAAGUUAUUCCUAGAAAAGGGUAGAAAAAAUAGAUCCCUGUUAAGUCCAUGUGAACAUUUAGUGAACAAUAGAAACUUAAUUUAGAAUUUAGUCCGUAUAGUCACUGGUAGCUUUCUCAAGAUAAAAAUACUUGGAAAAAGUCAUCUUUAAUCUCUAGAAAAUAAAGAGUGGUUGAAAAGAGUCAAAUGUUUGCAACACUGAUCAGUAGUGCUCACAUUACGAACUUUAAAAUGUAAUACUUAAUUAAAAAACUAAGCUUUUUUGUCCCUAAACUUUGUUUUAAAAGAAAAUUUAAAUAUGGAACUUAAUGCACAAAAUAACCUGUGUAAGAUACCAGUAUUUGGGUGGUAGAGGAUAUUGUUAUAUAUUAUUACUGACCUGAUUUGAUGACCAAUGGACCGUAUUUUAAGAUGCUUCCCAAAGCUAUUUUAUUCUAGAGUACUAUUAAAAACCACAGUUAAAGCAAUCAGUAAUUUUUCUACUUUCCUCAUUAAGGUAUUCUGCUUUCCCAAAGUAGUUUACAUUAACAUCACUUUUAAAGGGGUGUCUUAAUCCCCAUCCACCACAGAUUUUUACCUAGGAAUAGAAGGAUUCAAACCCUAUUUGAUCCCUAGCUUUUUGCUGAAAAGUGCAUAAACAGGAAUCCUGAAUUUAUUAUAUAGACCUCCUCGCAUUAUAAAAUCGAAGCAAAGGGAAACCAGCGAUGGAGUAGAGGUACGUAGACUGAAGAGAUGCUUGCAAAUUAAAUAAUGGUAUUAGGGAUAGUCAAAUAUCUUGUUGGCAAACUUGGUCGAUAGAAAUCACAAGUCUAGAGAAAAGCUAGUUAAUUUUAAAUUCCCUGAGGUUCUUUUACUGAGAUGUAAAGCAAGUAGUCAAGGAAAAACAAAGAGGGAGGGGUGAGGGAAGGGGGGGAACUGCAGAAAGCACUCAGAGGUAGUUAAUUAAAGUAGGUAUGAUAAGCUGCAAAGUUUUAAACCUACUAAUUGCCACAAUUCUAUUUUAAUCAGCUAUUUAGCUGGUACCUACCGCUAUAUCACCUAGUGUGAAAUUUCGGAUUUAAUGGAAUAAUGAA
This is an RNA transcript of Physeter macrocephalus (sperm whale), 5864 nucleotides long. It is a transcript of the gene named heterogeneous nuclear ribonucleoprotein U, with no coding region annotated. The record is from RefSeq and is a predicted model, not a curated record. NCBI's taxonomy places the organism in Eukaryota, Metazoa, Chordata, Mammalia, Artiodactyla, Physeteridae. The transcript is spliced from 16 exons.